UUGCUUUGGCAGCAUGUAUACUAAAAUUGAAAUGAUACAGAGAUUAGCAUGGCCCCUGAACGAGGAUGACAUGCAAAUUUGUGAAGCAUUCCAUAUUUUU
RNAcentral lists this small nuclear RNA (100 nucleotides) under Tursiops truncatus (common bottlenose dolphin). Lineage: Eukaryota; Metazoa; Chordata; Mammalia; Artiodactyla; Delphinidae. The record is from RNAcentral.